This 253-nucleotide ribosomal RNA is filed under the name uncultured bacterium. RNAcentral describes it as "partial 16S ribosomal RNA". It matches the Rfam family "Bacterial small subunit ribosomal RNA", at positions 524 to 776 of the family's 1533-position model. The record is from RNAcentral.
UACGAAGGGGGCUAGCGUUGCUCGGAAUUACUGGGCGUAAAGGGCGCGUAGGCGGAUACUUAAGUCGGGGGUGAAAGCCCAGGGCUCAACCCUGGAAUAGCCUUCGAUACUGGGUAUCUUGAGUUCGGGAGAGGUGAGUGGAACUGCGAGUGUAGAGGUGAAAUUCGUAGAUAUUCGCAAGAACACCAGUGGCGAAGGCGGCUCACUGGCCCGAUACUGACGCUGAGGCGCGAAAGCGUGGGGAGCAAACAGG